Molecule: non-coding RNA, 285 nt
Filed under: Sus scrofa (pig)
Lineage: Eukaryota; Metazoa; Chordata; Mammalia; Artiodactyla; Suidae
Description: HIF-1 alpha IRES
Rfam family: HIF-1 alpha IRES
About the family: This family represents the hypoxia-inducible factor 1-alpha internal ribosome entry site. HIF-1a is a subunit of the HIF-1 transcription factor, which induces transcription of several genes involved in the cellular response to hypoxia.
Source: Rfam by way of RNAcentral
CUCGUCUGAGGGGACGGGAGGAUCGCCUUCGCCGCCGCUUUGGCCAGUGCGCGGGGCCGUGCCCUGACAAGCUGCCUCGGGGGAGGCUCUUCGGAGCCGGACCUGGACCCUCGUGAUUGCCGCCUGCCCUCCCGCCUCUGGUCUCACGAAGGGUUUCCCGCCUCGCACCCCCACCUCUGGACGUGCUUUUCCCUCCUCCCCGCGUGCGGAGGGAGCCAGCGCUUAGGCCGGAGCGAGCCUGGGGGCCGCCGGCCGCGAAGGCAUCUCGGGCACAGAUUCGCCAUG